Lactuca sativa (garden lettuce) is the source of this 1829-nucleotide non-coding RNA. Lineage: Eukaryota; Viridiplantae; Streptophyta; Magnoliopsida; Asterales; Asteraceae. The record is from RefSeq and is a predicted model, not a curated record.
GGUUUAACUCUUAAAUUAAAAUGCAGAACAUUGAUGAAAAUGAGCUACCUUUUCUAGUCACUGUUAAUCCUCCUCUAACACCAAAAAGUACAUUGCAUAAAUGGUCACUGGGAUUGUCAAUUCCAUCAGUUGCAGCAACAAAGGCUGUUCUUGAGCUUGCUUACAUCCAAGGGAAGCGAAGAAUUUGGUUUUGUGGAGCAUACCAAGGUCAUGGGAUCCUUGAGGAUGGUGUCAAGGCGGGUAUGGUUGCGGCAAAUGGCAUUCUUAAAAAGACUUGUGAAAUUCUGAACAACCCGAAAACUAUGGCACCAUCUUUGAUGGAAAUUAGUGCGAGGUCAUUUGUUGUUUGGUUCCUUCAAGAAUUUAUUGCUAUUGGUACCUUAAUUUUAUUGGAAGAAGGUGGUGCAACAUUCACAUUCGAAGGAACAAGAAAGAAGAACUCUGUAAAAGUUUAUCUGAAAGUUGAAAAUCCUCGAUUUUAUUGGAAGGUUGCUACAGAAGAUGAGUUAGGUCUAUUUGGCGCAUACAUUAAGGGGGACUUUUCUUUUGUUGAUAAAACAAAUGGCCUUUUAAACUUGAUUGUGAUUCUUAUUGUAAACUAUGAGCUAAAAAAUUAUUCCUCGACGUCUAACAAAAGAGGUUGGUGGACACCGAUGUUUUCAACAGCGAUAAUAGCAUCUGCAAAGUAUUUCUGUCAUCAUGUUUUGAUGCAUAACUCUGUUACUCAAGCACGUAGGAACAUAUCACAUCACUAUGAUUUGAGUAACGAGUUUUUUUCCCUCUUCCUUGACGAGACUAUGUCAUACUCAUGUGCAUUAUUCAAGAGUGAGGAUGAAGACUUCAAAGCCGCACAAAUGAGAAAAAUAUCUUCGUUAAUUCAAAAGGCAAGAGUUGAUAAGGACCACCACAUUCUUGAGAUAGGAUUUGGUUGGGGAAGUUUAGCUAUUGAAAUCGUGAAACAAACUGGAUGUAAAUACACAGGCAUCACCCUUUCUGAAGAGCAACUCAAAUACGCAGAAACUAAAGUGAAGGAAACUGGCCUAGAGGACCAAAUCAAAUUUCUACUAUGUGACUACAGGCAAUUGCCUGACACUUCCAAAUAUGAUAGAAUUAUAUCCUGUGAAAUGAUAGAACAUGUCGGCCAUAAAUAUCAUGAAGAGUUUUUUGGAUGUUGUGACUCAUUAUUGGCAGAGGAUGGGAUUUUAGUCCUGCAGUUCACUUCAGUCCCAGAAGGCAGAUAUGAUGAUUACAGACGGAGCCCAGGGUUCAUUAAAGAAUACAUAUUUCCUGGACUGUGUGUACCUUCACUUACUAGAUUAACAUCCGCCAUGGCUGCAUCAUCUCGACUUUGGUAUGUGCUAAAAUCAUCGGAGAUCACCAUGUUACAUUGUGGAGCAUGUGGAAAACAUAGGAGCACAUUAUUAUCAAACACUCGCACACUGGAAGAAAAACUUAAUGCAAAACCAAAGCAAAAUACUUGAGUUGGGCUUCAACCAAGAAUUCAUCCGUACAUUCGAGUGCUAUUUUGAUUAUGUAGCUGCUGGCUUUAAGACCAAGACACUUGGGAACUACCAGGUUGUGUUCUCAAGGCCGGGAAACGUUGCCACAUUUGGAGAUCCUUACAAGGCUAUUAUUUCAGCUUAUUGAAAAAUGCAUGUAUCCUUGUGGAAAGACCAACUUUAAUAACUUCUUGCAUGCAAAAACCAAAUAUAUAUGGGCGUUUCAUUGGUCGUGCUUAUUAUGUUGACAUAUAUCAUAUUGUUGUGAAACUUGAAUUGGUUGUAUAUCAUGUAUUUUGAAUUUAUUAUAAACAACCCGAAGUUGCAUAA